RNAcentral lists this ribosomal RNA (351 nucleotides) under Triticum aestivum (bread wheat). RNAcentral describes it as "partial small subunit ribosomal RNA". Lineage: Eukaryota; Viridiplantae; Streptophyta; Magnoliopsida; Poales; Poaceae. The record is from RNAcentral.
AUGACGAGGGUGAAGAAUAGUUACUAUGUACUUUCAGGAGAACCUGAACCAAAGCGCACCAUGUCAAACACUCACAGCAUUGGGAAGGUAAUGUUCCUAACAGCUGUUGCUAGGCCUCGAUAUAACAAUGAGGGGGAGCUAACAUUCGAUGGGAAGAUCAGCAUUUGGGCAUUCGUCGAAGAGAUUGAGGCGAAGCGGACAAGUCAGAACAGAACAAAAGGGACAAAAGUGUUGACAUCAGUGAAAGUAACCAGGCCCGUGUGCAGAGAUUAUCUAAUCAAUAAGGUUAUCCCAACAAUUCAGGAUAAGUGGCCUGACGAUGAUGAGGGAGCAACAAUAUGCAUCCAAUAG